Molecule: ribosomal RNA, 31 nt
Filed under: Strobilanthes lurida
Lineage: Eukaryota; Viridiplantae; Streptophyta; Magnoliopsida; Lamiales; Acanthaceae
Description: partial 5.8S ribosomal RNA
Source: RNAcentral
AAACGACUCUCGGCAACGGUAUCUCGGUCUC